This is a non-coding RNA of Vicia faba (fava bean), 231 nucleotides long. The record is from the annotation of a GenBank genome assembly. Lineage: Eukaryota; Viridiplantae; Streptophyta; Magnoliopsida; Fabales; Fabaceae.
AUGGAGUUUUAUUACUAUAAGUUCAAGUCAAAACAAAUCCAAUCUAUACGACAACAACAAAGCUUUAUCCCACUAAAAAGGUCGGUUACAUGGAUCAAAUUGUGUCAUAAUGUUCUAUCCAAGACCAUAUUUCUAUCCAAAUCAUUAAUCUCAAGAUCCUACUUAAUAGUUUCUCUUAUAAUUUUUUCAGGUCUUCUUCUACCUCUAGUUGUUUGCCUCCUCUCCAUUUGA